RNAcentral lists this non-coding RNA (51 nucleotides) under unclassified sequences. RNAcentral describes it as "L31-Actinobacteria ribosomal protein leader". It matches the Rfam family "L31-Actinobacteria ribosomal protein leader". The record is from RNAcentral.
UCGGUUCCGGUUCACGCCGAUACCUCCACUUCGGGAGGGCGACCCGGGGCC